Molecule: transfer RNA, 71 nt
Filed under: Planctomyces sp.
Lineage: Bacteria; Pseudomonadati; Planctomycetota; Planctomycetia; Planctomycetales; Planctomycetaceae
Description: tRNA-Ile
Rfam family: tRNA
About the family: Transfer RNA (tRNA) molecules are approximately 80 nucleotides in length. Their secondary structure includes four short double-helical elements and three loops (D, anti-codon, and T loops).
Source: RNAcentral
CGCUUGGUGGUGUAACGGAAGCACAUCGUUCUGAUACGGCGGGAGCGACGGUUCAACUCCGUCCCGAGCGA